CAGUCGCCGCGGUAAUACGUAGGUGGCAAGCGUUGUCCGGAAUUAUUGGGCGUAAAGGGCUCGCAGGCGGUUUCUUAAGUCUGAUGUGAAAGCCCCCGGCUCAACCGGGGAGGGUCAUUAGAAACUGGGUAACUUGAGUGCAGAAGAGGAGAGUGGAAUUCCACGUGUAGCGGUGAAAUGCGUAGAGAUGUGGAGGAACACCAGUGGCGAAGGCGACUCUCUGGUCUGUAACUGACGCUGAGGAGCGAAAGCGUGGGGAGCGAACAGGAUUAGAUACCCCCGUAGUCCCUGUCUCUUAUAC
Molecule: ribosomal RNA, 301 nt
Filed under: uncultured bacterium
Lineage: Bacteria
Description: partial 16S ribosomal RNA
Rfam family: Bacterial small subunit ribosomal RNA
Source: RNAcentral